Molecule: ribosomal RNA, 496 nt
Filed under: uncultured bacterium
Lineage: Bacteria
Description: partial 16S ribosomal RNA
Rfam family: Bacterial small subunit ribosomal RNA
Source: RNAcentral
AUGAACGCUGGCGGCGUGCCUAAUACAUGCAAGUCGAGCGAACGGACGAGAAGCUUGCUUCUCUGAUGUUAGCGGCGGACGGGUGAGUAACACGUGGAUAACCUACCUAUAAGACUGGGAUAACUUCAGGAAACCGGAGCUAAUACCGGAUGAUAUUUUGAACCGCAUGGUUCAAAAGUGAAAGACGGUCUUGCUGUCACUUAUAGAUGGAUCCGCGCUGCAUUAGCUAGUUGGUAAGGUAACGGCUUACCAAGGCAACGAUGCAUAGCCGACCUGAGAGGGUGAUCAGCCACACUGGAACUGAGACACGGUCCAGACUCCUACGGGAGGCAGCAGUAGGGAAUCUUCCGCAAUGGGCGAAAGCCUGACGGAGCAACGCCGCGUGAGUGAUGAAGGUCUUCGGAUCGUAAAGCUCUGUUAUUAGGGAAGAACAUAUGUGUAAGUAACUGUGCACAUCUUGACGGUACCUAAUCAGAAAGCCACGGCUAACUACGUG